RNAcentral lists this long non-coding RNA (217 nucleotides) under Elaeis guineensis (African oil palm). RNAcentral describes it as "long non-coding RNA (EGUI_LNC056490)". The record is from RNAcentral. Lineage: Eukaryota; Viridiplantae; Streptophyta; Magnoliopsida; Arecales; Arecaceae.
UCCCACUUCUAGUUUCAGUAGCACUAACUGCUUGAACUAAAUGUCCCCUUUGGUUCAUCAAUGAGCAUAAAAACAAGGAGUUUUAUUAUUCCUUUUUUCCUUUCUAAAUGUAAACUUAUAUGGGUUUAGCAUCCCCUCUUCCUCUUGAAUUUUCUAUUUUUCAAUUUCCAUUCAUUUUUCCCUACAAAAUCCCAUUCAUAAAUUCUAUUUGUCUGAA